UUAAGUGUUACUAAACACAAUUAAACACUGGAAAAUAUCAUCAUUUCCUUCUAAAGUCUCCUCAUACUGUAUUGAUGACUCUACACCAAAUCUGGCCAAUCAAAUGCUUUCCACAGAAAGUCCCUCCCCCAACAAACAUGCUACAGACCAGCAGCACAACAAACACACUUUCUGGACUCUCUACUGGAAAUAUGAGCUCAUAAAUACCUUUCCUGGAGCUGUGAAUCUGCCUGGAUGUGGAGGAGUGUGUGGAGGAGCGUCAGCUGUUGAGCGCAGGUCAAAGAUUUGCAGCAGAAACACAACAAACACACGUGUGUAUCUUCACUGCUGCAGAGGAGAGAGAGAGAGAGAGCAAUGACUGAACACAAAAACUACAACAACAUCAUUACAAACUAAACCAACGAAACAAAGUCCCUUACAGGAUCAGUGAAGUGUUGUGGACUGUAAGCCUGUUGAACAGAAGCAGAGACGCGUGGACAGACGCUGACUGUACUGAUGAUGAUCAUCUGCUGCUGCACAGGUGAUGUAGAUCAUGUGUGAUUGUGUGUGUGUCUGUUCCACAUGUCGGUUACCAUCAUUUUCUUUGUGGAGGGUCACUCCUCUAGAAAGCAAGUGAUGGUAACCGAAACGGGUGGGGAAGGGACACAGGUCCAAAAUUUUUAUACAGUUCAUUUUAAAUUUUUUGCCAGGCUGUAAAGUAUAACCCCUGCUGGACAUGUCUCCGGAAGCUCCAGGGGGAGACCGAACUGGUAUCCCCCCUUCUUCAGGCGCGCCUCACACUCACUCACCAUUCACUCAUAUCGCAGAGUUCUGGCUGGGAUCAAACCAGCAACCCAUGAAGCCAUGGGGCAGCGCUCUUACCACAGAGCCACAGAUCUCCUGACUGAACACUUGCUGGAACUGAAGUUAGACUUCUGACCUGUGUGUGAGCUGUUUUAAUAAAACAAAAUACGAGUCAGA
Danio aesculapii is the source of this 960-nucleotide long non-coding RNA. RefSeq lists it as uncharacterized. The record is from RefSeq and is a predicted model, not a curated record. NCBI's taxonomy places the organism in Eukaryota, Metazoa, Chordata, Actinopteri, Cypriniformes, Danionidae. The transcript has 2 exons.